UAACUGGGAUGACUUGUCUAGAUCUUAGGCAAAAAUUCACUUAGCACAUCAGCUCCUGGAAACAAAUGCACUUAACCAGAAAAAUAGGGACAUCAACCAGCAAAGAUGCAUCCUCAUUUAAUAGAGCUUGAAAUUACUAUAAUCUGUAAAGUACAGUGAGAAGAAGAAGUUUCACCUGCCUGCACAUCAGUCAUUGAUUCUCCAUUUGACUUGGAGGGACUCUGAGGGACCGACCUGAGCCUGAGAAGAGGCAAGAUUCCCCUUCAAGGACACACUGGGAACUUACGGACCUCUUUCUCCAUGGUGCAGAGCACAGAGGUGAAGAAACAGACUCAGAAUAGUCCUUGAGCUUGCCACUGGGAAGUGAAAAUCAAUUGCUUGAAUAAAUGUAAGGACUCAGGGACCAAGAACUGAUGAAAGGCCUGAAGAUAAGGAUCAUGGGAGGAGUCUGAAUUCUGCUAAAAUGUAGGCAUCGUUUCUAUCAUCCUUACUACUCAGGAGUCAUGUGGUCAGAGGUCACAAGAUUUGAGCCGCCCCCAAUUGAUCCUAUGGAUAACUUAGCUACUAUAGAGCCUAAAAUUGGUCUCUCAAGAUGUUUUUCAGACCUUUGCAUUCUGGCAAUCAACUGACCUCACCUGGACUCAUGAGUCAUGACUGAACCCGUCCUGUGGCCCCACCUGGAGAUAAACUCAGCACACAAGGAUCAUUUUCCCACACUUCUAUGAUUUCAUAUCCAACCAAUCAAUGGCACCCAUUUUCUAGCCUCCUGUUCACCAAAGCAUCUUUGAAAAAUCCUAACCUCUAAGCCUCUGGGAAGACUGAUUCGAGUAAUAACUCUGUUCCCUGCAUGGCUGGCCUAGUGUCAAUUAAACUCUUUCUUUACUGCAAUACCAUGGUCUCAGCGAAUUGGUUUUGUCUGUGCAAUGGGCAGAAAGAACCUGUCUGGUGAGCAUCUCCACACAUUCAGGAAUUGUCUAUCUAAGACAAUGGAGUUAUCUUCACCCUCAACAAAUGUCUCAACUCUGUGACAUUUUAAGCAAAUCUUAACUUUGACUUAUGAAUUCAAGAAGGAAGAAAAAAGUAAGAAACUGUGAUUGUAAUAGUUCCUCUGGACGUCCUCCCCACUGGAGACAGGCUCCCUUGCUGUUGUGUGGUCACUGUUCUCAUUAACCUAAUGAAAUCUACACUUGCAAAUGAAGUCCUGGGGUCCGGACUAAAUGUUCACAGUCUGGCCACAUGCUAAUAUUUCAUGUGCUAGCCCGUAUCUUUAAAUAGACUCAUGGAAAUGUGUUAAAUGAUAUAACAGAAUAAAAAUCAAGCUUAACUUAAA
This is a non-coding RNA of Macaca mulatta (Rhesus monkey), 1330 nucleotides long. The record is from RefSeq and is a predicted model, not a curated record. Lineage: Eukaryota; Metazoa; Chordata; Mammalia; Primates; Cercopithecidae.